Molecule: small nucleolar RNA, 78 nt
Organism: Synchiropus splendidus (mandarinfish)
Lineage: Eukaryota; Metazoa; Chordata; Actinopteri; Syngnathiformes; Callionymidae
Product: small nucleolar RNA SNORD72
Exons: 1
Source: RefSeq, a predicted model, not a curated record
GUCUUGUCUAUGAUGUUCUGAAAUAAAUGUCUGAACAUAUGAAUUAUACUGAUUCACAAUGCAUAACUGAGACAAGAC